RNAcentral lists this ribosomal RNA (2110 nucleotides) under Escherichia coli. RNAcentral describes it as "partial 23S ribosomal RNA". It matches the Rfam family "Bacterial large subunit ribosomal RNA", at positions 1 to 2136 of the family's 2925-position model. The record is from RNAcentral. Lineage: Bacteria; Pseudomonadati; Pseudomonadota; Gammaproteobacteria; Enterobacterales; Enterobacteriaceae.
GGUUAAGCGACUAAGCGUACACGGUGGAUGCCCUGGCAGUCAGAGGCGAUGAAGGACGUGCUAAUCUGCGAUAAGCGUCGGUGAGGUGAUAUGAACCGUUAUAACCGGCGAUUUCCGAAUGGGGAAACCCAGUGUGUUUCGACACACUAUCAUUAACUGAAUCCAUAGGUUAAUGAGGCGAACCGGGGGAACUGAAACAUCUAAGUACCCCGAGGAAAAGAAAUCAACCGAGAUUCCCCCAGUAGCGGCGAGCGAACGGGGAGGAGCCCAGAGCCUGAAUCAGUGUGUGUGUUAGUGGAAGCGUCUGGAAAGGCGCGCGAUACAGGGUGACAGCCCCGUACACAAAAAUGCACAUGCUGUGAGCUCGAUGAGUAGGGCGGGACACGUGGUAUCCUGUCUGAAUAUGGGGGGACCAUCCUCCAAGGCUAAAUACUCCUGACUGACCGAUAGUGAACCAGUACCGUGAGGGAAAGGCGAAAAGAACCCCGGCGAGGGGAGUGAAAAAGAACCUGAAACCGUGUACGUACAAGCAGUGGGAGCCUCUUAAUGGGGUGACUGCGUACCUUUUGUAUAAUGGGUCAGCGACUUAUAUUCUGUAGCAAGGUUAACCGAAUAGGGGAGCCGAAGGGAAACCGAGUCUUAACUGGGCGUUAAGUUGCAGGGUAUAGACCCGAAACCCGGUGAUCUAGCCAUGGGCAGGUUGAAGGUUGGGUAACACUAACUGGAGGACCGAACCGACUAAUGUUGAAAAAUUAGCGGAUGACUUGUGGCUGGGGGUGAAAGGCCAAUCAAACCGGGAGAUAGCUGGUUCUCCCCGAAAGCUAUUUAGGUAGCGCCUCGUGAAUUCAUCUCCGGGGGUAGAGCACUGUUUCGGCAAGGGGGUCAUCCCGACUUACCAACCCGAUGCAAACUGCGAAUACCGGAGAAUGUUAUCACGGGAGACACACGGCGGGUGCUAACGUCCGUCGUGAAGAGGGAAACAACCCAGACCGCCAGCUAAGGUCCCAAAGUCAUGGUUAAGUGGGAAACGAUGUGGGAAGGCCCAGACAGCCAGGAUGUUGGCUUAGAAGCAGCCAUCAUUUAAAGAAAGCGUAAUAGCUCACUGGUCGAGUCGGCCUGCGCGGAAGAUGUAACGGGGCUAAACCAUGCACCGAAGCUGCGGCAGCGACACUAUGUGUUGUUGGGUAGGGGAGCGUUCUGUAAGCCUGUGAAGGUGGCCUGUGAGGGUUGCUGGAGGUAUCAGAAGUGCGAAUGCUGACAUAAGUAACGAUAAAGCGGGUGAAAAGCCCGCUCGCCGGAAGACCAAGGGUUCCUGUCCAACGUUAAUCGGGGCAGGGUGAGUCGACCCCUAAGGCGAGGCCGAAAGGCGUAGUCGAUGGGAAACAGGUUAAUAUUCCUGUACUUGGUGUUACUGCGAAGGGGGGACGGAGAAGGCUAUGUUGGCCGGGCGACGGUUGUCCCGGUUUAAGCGUGUAGGCUGGUUUUCCAGGCAAAUCCGGAAAACCAAGGCUGAGGCGUGAUGACGAGGCACUACGGUGCUGAAGCGACAAAUGCCCUGCUUCCAGGAAAAGCCUCUAAGCAUCAGGUAACAUCAAAUCGUACCCCAAACCGACACAGGUGGUCAGGUAGAGAAUACCAAGGCGCUUGAGAGAACUCGGGUGAAGGAACUAGGCAAAAUGGUGCCGUAACUUCGGGAGAAGGCACGCUGAUAUGUAGGUGAAGCGACUUGCUCGUGGAGCUGAAAUCAGUCGAAGAUACCAGCUGGCUGCAACUGUUUAUUAAAAACACAGCACUGUGCAAACACGAAAGUGGACGUAUACGGUGUGACGCCUGCCCGGUGCCGGAAGGUUAAUUGAUGGGGUUAGCGGUAACGCGAAGCUCUUGAUCGAAGCCCCGGUAAACGGCGGCCGUAACUAUAACGGUCCUAAGGUAGCGAAAUUCCUUGUCGGGUAAGUUCCGACCUGCACGAAUGGCGUAAUGAUGGCCAGGCUGUCUCCACCCGAGACUCAGUGAAAUUGAACUCGCUGUGAAGAUGCAGUGUACCCGCGGCAAGACGGAAAGACCCCGUGAACCUUUACUAUAGCUUGACACUGAACAUUGAGCCUUGAUG